GGUUUAAUUCGAAGCAACGCGAAGAACCUUACCAAGUCUUGACAUCCCGAUGACAGAGUAUGUAAUGUACUUUCUCUUCGGAGCAUCGGUGACAGGUGGUGCAUGGUUGUCGUCAGCUCGUGUCGUGAGAUGUUGGGUUAAGUCCCGCAACGAGCGCAACCCCCUGUCCUUAGUAGCCAG
This 180-nucleotide ribosomal RNA is filed under the name uncultured bacterium. RNAcentral describes it as "partial 16S ribosomal RNA". It matches the Rfam family "Bacterial small subunit ribosomal RNA", at positions 943 to 1121 of the family's 1533-position model. The record is from RNAcentral.